Non-coding RNA from Rattus norvegicus (Norway rat), 1952 nucleotides. NCBI's taxonomy places the organism in Eukaryota, Metazoa, Chordata, Mammalia, Rodentia, Muridae. The record is from RefSeq and is a predicted model, not a curated record.
UUCACCACAGGAGGGCGCUCUACAACUCAGAAGGCAAGAGAACAGCUUAUUGAGUGUUUAAAGUUCAGACAGGUUAGACCAGGGUGAGCUUGGUGCAGUCUUUUUUCUUGUAGAUAUGUUGAAUUCUUGCACAGAAAUCUACCUUGAGUUGUUCCAUAAGCAUGAGGUUUUGCAAGCACAGGGUACACCCCACUAGUCAGGCCUGCAGUCAGGCCUUCCUGGACACAAUGUCUCUAAAAUAGACCACAGCCUGCUCCUGCUUAAUGUUGGAUAUAUUGUUUCUUUUGUAAGUCACAGAGUCAGUAUUUCUAUAUCCCUUCUCUUUCUCACCAGUGUAUGUUGGCCCUCCUGCCUUUCACGUUCUCUGAUCUUCCUGGCUCACAGACCAGAUAACUUCCUUCAGAAUUGAAGGGUACAAAAGGAUGAUGCUAUUUGUCUCUAUUCUUUUAUCUUAAAAAUCUGCCAAAAAUUUUGUGACCCACAGAUUUUUCCAGCAGGACAGUAAUACUUACAUCCUGGAGUCUCACAGAGGGAUGCAUUCAUAGAUAUCAUCGCUUUUGUUGAUAUCGUGUCCACGUACUCCUAGGUUCUGUCAGUUCAUCUACAACAAUGGGUUCUUUCACACCUGGAAAACUCCUUUGUCCUGGAUGAGCAUCCCCUCUGUCUCAGUGCUGGGAUUCCAGGCAUUGGCCACUAAAUCCAAUGUAGGCAACACUAGGAAGUCAAACACAGGGCCCCUGGCAUGAUAGGGAAGCAUUUGACACAACUGAGCUACAUCAACAGCCGUGUUUCAUAAAUAAUGCAGGACUGGAGUGGAGCAGAGACUGAAGGAGGGGCUGUCCAGGGACUGACUGACCUGAGGAUCCAUCCCAUGUGCAGCGACGAAACCCAGACACUGGCUGAUGCCAAGGAGUGCUUACUGACAGGGACCUGAUAUAGAUACCACCUGAGAGGCUCUGUCAGAGCCUUAGGGAUACAGAUUUGGGUGCUUGCAGCCAAAUAUCUGACUGAGCCCUGGAACCCCAAUGGAGGAGUUGGGAGAAGGACUAAAGGAACUCAGGGGCUUUACAACACCAUGGGAGGAACAACAAUAUCAAGCAAACAGAAUCACCACUCCCAGAGUUCCCAGGGACUGAACCACCAACCAGAGUAGAGGACCCAUGGCUCCAACUGUACAUAUGCAGAGGAUGGCUUUGUCUGGCAUCAGAGGGAGGGGAAGUCCUGGGUCCCUUGAAGGCUUCAUGCCCCAGAGUAGGGGAUUGAUAGGGCAGUGGGUGGGAAUAGGUGGAUGGGUGGGAGAGCACCUUCAUGGAGGCAGGGGGAGUGGGAGUAGAAUGACGGGGUUGGAGGCAGCCAGGGAAAUAAUAUUUGAAAAGUAAAUAAACAAAAUAACCAAUUUUUUUAAAAAGUUAACUAAAGUAAGAGACUGACCCACCUGAGUGGUCAGGUGACCCAAAUGAAACUUCUAUGUCACACCCUCCCAUUUCAGAGUUCAGGAUCAUCCAGGAAGAGGAGAUUGACAGAGCCAGAGAUAGUGGGUGCCUACAGCCAAACAGUGGUUUCCAGAUACAUUAGGGUAACAGUAUAUAUGAAAGGGCAAUAGCCAUGAGAGUAUGCACAAAAUCUAUCUGAGCUUAAGCCACAUAAAAUCCCAGUCAUUCUAUGAAGCCACAAUUAUACUUAUACCUAAACCAUUCAAUGACUCAACAAAGAGAGAGCACUUCUGGCUAUUAGCCCAAAUGCUUGAAUUACCCUAGAUGCCUAGAACAAAUGAAACUCAAGACGGAUGAUCAAAAUGUGAAUGCUUCACUCCUUCUUUAAAAGGGGAACAAGAAUACCCUUGGCAGGGAAGAGAGAGGCAAAGAUUAAAACAGACACAGAAGGAACACCCAUUCAGAGCCUGCCCCACAUGUGGCCCAUACAUAUACAGCCACCCAAUUAGACAAGACGGA